GCCUCAGUGGCUUAGUGGUAUAGCGCUUCCUUGGUAAGGAAGAGGCCGCGAGUUCAACUCUCGCCUGAGGCU
RNAcentral lists this transfer RNA (72 nucleotides) under Methanocorpusculum parvum. Its description in RNAcentral is "tRNA-Thr". It matches the Rfam family "tRNA". Rfam says of the family: Transfer RNA (tRNA) molecules are approximately 80 nucleotides in length. Their secondary structure includes four short double-helical elements and three loops (D, anti-codon, and T loops). Further hydrogen bonds mediate the characteristic L-shaped molecular structure. tRNAs have two regions of fundamental functional importance: the anti-codon, which is responsible for specific mRNA codon recognition, and the 3' end, to which the tRNAs corresponding amino acid is attached (by aminoacyl-tRNA synthetases). tRNAs cope with the degeneracy of the genetic code in two manners: having more than one tRNA (with a specific anti-codon) for a particular amino acid; and 'wobble' base-pairing, i.e. permitting non-standard base-pairing at the 3rd anti-codon position. Lineage: Archaea; Methanobacteriati; Methanobacteriota; Methanomicrobia; Methanomicrobiales; Methanocorpusculaceae. The record is from RNAcentral. RNAcentral also lists the same sequence under 1 other name.